CUCUUGGUGUAUGUUUGAUAGCCAAUGGGAAUAACAGAUUCACUCUGAAUUAAUUCAAAAGCUACAUUACAUUACAUUUCGUAGCUUUUACAAACUGGUUCUGUCAUCUCCAUUGUGUUAUCGUACAUAGACUUGGAU
Molecule: microRNA precursor, 138 nt
Filed under: Medicago truncatula (barrel medic)
Lineage: Eukaryota; Viridiplantae; Streptophyta; Magnoliopsida; Fabales; Fabaceae
Description: miR2648 stem-loop (mtr-MIR2648)
Source: miRBase by way of RNAcentral